This 242-nucleotide ribosomal RNA is filed under the name uncultured bacterium. Its description in RNAcentral is "partial 16S ribosomal RNA". It matches the Rfam family "Bacterial small subunit ribosomal RNA", at positions 57 to 305 of the family's 1533-position model. The record is from RNAcentral.
GCAAGUCGAGCGCUACCUUCGGGUGGAGCGGCGGACGGGUGAGUAACACGUGGGCAAUCUGCCCGAUACUCUGGGAUAACGCUUGGAAACGAGUGCUAAUACCGGAUGGUCUUCUUGGCCGCAUGGCCGAGAAGGAAAAGACGCGUUCGCGUCGGUGUCGGAUGAGCCCGCGGCGCAUUAGCUAGUUGGUGAGGUAACGGCCCACCAAGGCGACGAUGCGUAGCCGACCUGAGAGGGUGACC